Cephus cinctus (wheat stem sawfly) is the source of this 2233-nucleotide long non-coding RNA. RefSeq lists it as uncharacterized. The transcript is spliced from 4 exons. The record is from RefSeq and is a predicted model, not a curated record. Lineage: Eukaryota; Metazoa; Arthropoda; Insecta; Hymenoptera; Cephidae.
AAUCUGCAAGAGAAUUACGCAUUUUAGAGAUACACGUUGCUCUUGAAUUCAAGAGCAUACUUUGGCUAUGUAUGUUUUAUUAUCGUUUAUUAUUUGCCCGAGUAAAUGUACUUAUUGUCGUCAAAACUUUUAUUCCUUGGCCGUUACAAACGAAAAAGAUCAACUUUUUCUCUUAUACUACUGAUCGCUACUACCCGCUCUCGCUAGCCAGCUUCCUUUCUUUUCCGCUUUGCCGUGCAGCGCCUUUCCUUGCAUUCCACUUUUUUUCCAGCGGAGUCUGGCUCUUUCCGCUUCAUUAUUGAAAAAACUUGAAAUCGGAAAAGAAAUGUAUGUUGAAGGUUGAAAACUUUCGGAAUUUUGAUACGCAAAUGGGUUUUUUCGUCGCGGCGCUAUUUUCUUCUCCCCAACAGAUUGAUAGACCCGAUCGAGAAGAAAGUGGCAUGUAAAAUUGUGACCCUUAUUUACAUGCUUACUGAGGAUAAGGAUAUUCAAAUACGUAUAAGAAGUUUGGAAUGGAAAUUCUCGAAAAUAAGGAAUUCUUGGUGGGUGAUUUAGCGAGAGAUUGACAAAUAAACGUGGGGUGUAUCAGACCAACGGGCUUUUAAAAAUAUUUAUGAACCAUAAUGGCAAUGGCUCUUGACAUACAAAUUGAAUUACAGCAUAUUACGAUCAACGGCCAUUUUCUUAACCCUUAAACUGCUGGCAAUUUAAAAAUUAAAAUGCAACUUUUUUCCGUGCACAUUCUCAUAUAAAUGUUGCCAAUGUAUGGGUCGAUGUGUAAAAGUCAUCAGGUAGCGCAAAAUAGCGUCGCACCGGCAGGCUAAGCGUUAAAUUCGUAAAUUGAUAUUCAAUAUUUUAAUUGACCAAACAGAAAGCUUAAGAAACACUUAAAACACUUCCUUCAUUUAAUUUUCAAUGUAAUUUUCAGCCUGUCUUGAAUCCGAUUAUACCUGAAAGGGAACUGAGUGGAACGUCAUAACCUCAAAUAUGGGAUAUUAUAGUUUAUAAGAAUGCAAUAAUAAAUUUUCAUGCAAACGCAGUGUAUGCAUACUUUUGCAAGCUGUAUUGUUACUGAGAUAACACUUGUAUGUGGAGUAACUGACUAAAAAAGAUAUGACUUGUACGUAAUUUUUGAGGUGUAAAAUGCCCGUGUUAAAACUGCCCUUUUUCGCAAUUAUUCCUCAACUAUGCUUCACACAAUUUCCAGUUCAGUAAUCGUACAAUUUACGCAGUUAUGGAUAUACUUCAUUUCGAUAAAGAUGGUGCAUCAAUCUCGUACAAUUUACGAUUUUCGCGGUUGGAGAUUCUAGAUGGCAGUCGACACUCCCCAAGUCCUCUUAUCAGAUGCGAUAAUAAUAAUAAGACAAGAUAGUGGAUGUAAAAAAAUAAUCCAUCAACAGUCGCUGAACUACGUAAUUCAUCUAAAAUCAUGUACAAUCAAUAUCCAUGGUAACGGUAUCCUUGGACCGUGUUCCAGUUUGUUUUUUUUAAUGUCCAUUAUAUAUGGACGAUUAAAUUAAUACUGCGUGUCAUGAAAUCGGAUACAAAACGUUCACAUUCUGCAGUUCGUUAAAAUUUUUCAAAGUCACCGUUGUGCUUGAGAAUAUCAUCACAUUCAAAUUACGUCAUCGGUCCCUGGUCGCUUGAAAGGCAAUGAACGAAUCAGCGCCGCCCCUGGUAUCGUUGGUGUACUACGAUAUGUCCCACAUGCGUAUUUCCAUCGUAAACAAGCAUCUACAAAAGAAGAAAAAAAAAUGAAAAUGAAGAGUGAAGUUGUCUCGUUCGCAAAGGAAAUAAUUUAUCGAGUAAGAAGGAAAAUUUUAAUGCCACAACCUUGUACCGAGAUGGUAAAUCUUUGGGAAAAUAAAAAAUAAAAUAAAAAUCCUUUCUCGCCACAAGAUAGAAAGUUACUCGACAGAAGCCGUUCGUGCUUGUCCUUGGUUUCUUUGUUCUAAACUUCGAAGUUAAUUUUAUCUGUUUAUACUUGACUCUACCCAGCGCAGCUUUUGAAAAUAUUAUACAGUGAAAAGUAAACUUUUCUCAAAAGUCCGUGCGUUGUAAUUCUUAAACAACGUCCAAUCUGUUCUGAGACACUGGGGUUAUGGGCAAUAAAGAAGUUUGCGAAAUUUCGAAUAAAACAAAUAAACAUUCUUUUAAUAGACAAUCAUUGCGUAAUUUCGUUUGACGAAUAUCGAAUUUCUUGUUAAAUCUGCACGAGAAUUUAAGGAGUCAC